UGGUCAAUAUUUAUCCCAUCAAUUAAAUCAAAGUUGCUAACCCUUCUCUCUCUCUCCUAACCCAACAGACGCUCUUUAUGGUCCCUUUCUUCCCCUGCAAUGGCAGAUUUCUUUUGGCUUCUUCUCCAAUUUUGAGUAAAGAUUUGACCUCUCAUAUUAUGAAAGCAGAGAUUCCAGGCUCAUUCCAAGCAAAUGUCUGCAGCCCCAACGUAAUUCUAAUUUUUUUUGACAAAGAUUCAAACUGAAUUUCCAUUUGCAAUGAAGUUGACAAAGUUGUCUUCCGGUAGCGAGGCCGCGUUCGGUGUUUCGUUGGAUCCGAGACCUCAGUCCCGAUUCUCUGCCCCAAAACAGGUCGGUAUCUUUUAUCUUCUUAUUUUUCCGAUGCCGUAAAGUUAAGAAGAAUUCAUGUUUUUGAAUGUAUCGUGGGUUUGCUGUUAGUAUUUUUUUUGUUCUAGAUAUCAUGGAAGAAUAGGAGUUUGAUAUAGGAUCCUCCUCUUGCUUGUAUAUCAUAUUAUGAUUUAGUUACUAUCCUUAUAUUUGAAUUCA
Long non-coding RNA from Nicotiana attenuata, 546 nucleotides. RefSeq lists it as uncharacterized. The record is from RefSeq and is a predicted model, not a curated record. NCBI's taxonomy places the organism in Eukaryota, Viridiplantae, Streptophyta, Magnoliopsida, Solanales, Solanaceae. The transcript is spliced from 2 exons.